GAGGGUCUAGCUCAGGGGUAGAGUGUGUGCUUAGCAGGCAUGAGGUCCUGGGUUCAAUCCCCAGUGCCUCCG
Molecule: transfer RNA, 72 nt
Filed under: Camelus bactrianus (Bactrian camel)
Lineage: Eukaryota; Metazoa; Chordata; Mammalia; Artiodactyla; Camelidae
Also listed under: 2 other names
Rfam family: tRNA
About the family: Transfer RNA (tRNA) molecules are approximately 80 nucleotides in length. Their secondary structure includes four short double-helical elements and three loops (D, anti-codon, and T loops).
Source: Rfam by way of RNAcentral